GACGAACGCUGGCGGCGUGCUUAACACAUGCAAGUCGAACGGAAAGGCCCUGCUUUUGUGGGGUGCUCGAGUGGCGAACGGGUGAGUAACACGUGAGUAACCUGCCCUUGACUUUGGGAUAACUUCAGGAAACUGGGGCUAAUACCGGAUAGGAGCUCCUGCUGCAUGGUGGGGGUUGGAAAGUUUCGGCGGGUGGGGAUGGACUCGCGGCUUAUCAGCUUGUUGGGGGGGUAGUGGCUUACCAAGGCUUUGACGGGUAGCCGGCCUGAGAGGGUGACCGGCCACAUUGGGACUGAGAUACGGCCCAGACUCCUACGGGAGGCAGCAGUGGGGAAUAUUGCACAAUGGGCGGAAGCCUGAUGCAGCAACGCCGCGUGCGGGAUGACGGCCUUCGGGUUGUAAACCGCUUUCGCCUGUGACGAAGCGUGAGUGACGGUAAUGGGUAAAGAAGCACCGGCUAACUACGUG
RNAcentral lists this ribosomal RNA (468 nucleotides) under uncultured bacterium. Its description in RNAcentral is "partial 16S ribosomal RNA". It matches the Rfam family "Bacterial small subunit ribosomal RNA", at positions 28 to 507 of the family's 1533-position model. The record is from RNAcentral.